UCUGGUUGAUCCUGCCAGUAGUCAUAUGCUUGUCUCAAAGACUAAGCCAUGCAUGUCUAAGUCCAAGCCGUGUCUAACACGGCGAGACCGCGGACGGCUCAUUAAAUCAGUCGUUGUCCAAAUGGGCCAGUACUAAGUACUUGGAUAACUGUGGUAAUUCCAGAGCUAAUACAUGCAACCUAUAGCUCCGACGGGGUCAAACCCGGACGAGUGCUUUUAUUAGACCAAACCGCUGAGGGCGUUCGCGUCCUGUGAGGCAAUGUGGUGACUCUGGAUAACCUUACUGACAAGCGCAGAGUACCUCUCGCAAGAGAGGACGGCGCUGCCACUUUCGAGUGUCUGCCUUAUCAGCUUUCAAUCGCUCGCUACACGCGACCGAUGGCUUUGACGGGUAACGGGGAAUCAGGGUUCGAUUCCGGAGAGGCAGCCUGAGAGACGGCUACCACGUCCAAGGACGGCAGCAGGCACGCAAAUUACCCAAUCCCAGCACCUAGCUCUGGGGAGGUAGUGACGAAACAUAACGAAGCGUGCGCCCUUAACGGGUCUCGCUAUCGGAAUGAGCACUCUCUAAACACCCUGCAGAGAACCUACUGAAGGGCAAGUCUGGUGCCAGCAGCCGCGGUAAUUCCAGCUUCAGUAGCAUAUAUUAAAGUUGCUGCGGUUAAAAGGCUCGUAGUUGAAUGUCUAACUCGACCGGUGCGCUGGUGACGUUGGCGGGCUGUAGCCUUCGGUUGCAUGCCCUCCCGUCCUUGUAAUCCACGCCCGGAAGAGUACUGGGGUGGGUGCUGGCACUGGUGCUGUCUGCGUGUCUCUGCCCUCACGGGUAUUUUCGCGCAACACCCAGCCGCUCUCCCCACCCGGUCACCCUGAGUAAAUCAGAGUGUUCAAAGCAAUCCCAAGGGCUUAACGUUCUGAAACAGCCGAGAGCCGUGCGUGUGUUAAGGGUCUCGUCCCUGGCGCCCACCUCUUACGCUGGACUGUCUUGGUUUUGCAUGGUAUGUCGAAAGAAGACACCGGGCGCUGGCUACGCCUCGCUCGCAGUGUCUUGCACUGCGCAGCGGUAACAGCCAGCCCCGGUGUAAUGAUUAAAAGGGCUUGUCGAGGGCAUUGGUAUUGCGGAGCGAGAGGUGAAAUUCUAUGACCUCCGCAAGACCUCCUGAAGCGAAAGCGUCUGCCAAGGAUGUUUUCAUUAAUCAUGAACGAAAGUUAGAGGAUCGAAGGCGAUCAGAUACCGCCCUAGUUCUAACCCUAAACGAUGCCAACCACCAAUCCGACGAGUACCCUUUCUGACGGGCUCGGCGGGCAGCUCUUACCUUACGGGAAACCAGAGUCUCUGGGUUCCGGGGGGAGUCUGGUUGCAAAGCUGAAACUUAAAGGAAUUGACGGAAAGGCACCACCAGGCGUGGAGCCUGCGGCUUAAUUUGACUCAACACGGGCAAGCUCACCAGGCCAAGACUCUAGCAUGACUGACAGAUUGAGAGCUCUUUCUCGAUUGGGAGGAUGGUGGUGCAUGGCCGUUCUUAGUUGGUGGAGUGAUCUGUCUGGUUAAUUCCGAUAACGAACGAGACUCUCCCCUGCUAACUAGUCGGUUGGAUCUUUCUAGCGAGUGUGGCUGAGGAGAGGAUUGCUGUGGCUCUUGCAGGCGUCUGGGGUUAGGUGGGGGAUGCCGUGUCUGUCGCCCUCGCGGUGUGUGGGCACGCUCUCUCCCUUCCUCGUUCGUCUCAUGGGUCGCACACCCCGACUCUCCCACUCUAAGUCCACCGGCCCGACAAGGUCUUCUUAGAGGUAUAAACGGCUCUGAAGCCGUGAGAGAUUGAGAGCAAUAACAGGUCUGUGAUGCCCUUAGAUGCUCUGGGCCGCACGCGCGCUACAAUGCUGGGUGCAUCGGGUGUUAAAGUUCCCGCUCCGCAAGGCAGCGGGUAACCCCUGAAAACCCUUCUGAGAGACAGCGGAGUUGGGCUCUGCCCUCUCCCUGUAACACAGAGAAGCGUGCUUGGGCCUAAGGCUUGAAACUAUUCCCUACAAACGAGGAAUGCCUAGUAACGGCGGGUCAUUAGCCCGCCGUGACUGAGUCCCUGCCCUUUGUACACACCGCCCGUCGCUACUACCGAUUGGGUGUACCAGUGAAAGCCUUGGACUGGCGGAGAUACACUUCGUGUGUUUGUCUCUCGACUGAAAGAGGUCCGAACUGGUGCACCUAGAGGAAGUAAAAGUCGUAACAAGGUUUCCGUAGGUGAACCUGCGGAAGGAUCAUUA
Molecule: ribosomal RNA, 2256 nt
Filed under: Perotripus sp. AI-2007-4
Lineage: Eukaryota; Metazoa; Arthropoda; Malacostraca; Amphipoda; Caprellidae
Description: small subunit ribosomal RNA
Rfam family: Eukaryotic small subunit ribosomal RNA
Source: RNAcentral